Long non-coding RNA from Triticum dicoccoides, 1531 nucleotides. RefSeq lists it as uncharacterized. The transcript is spliced from 9 exons. Lineage: Eukaryota; Viridiplantae; Streptophyta; Magnoliopsida; Poales; Poaceae. The record is from RefSeq and is a predicted model, not a curated record.
GGGUCUAACAGUGACUGUGUUUAGGGUGUGGUGGACAAGGACGCCUCUGCCACAGCACCUGCAUCUUCAUCUCUGCCAUGUAUACCGAAAUCAAGGUCUUUUAUAUAAUUGGUUGGAUAACUACUUUUCAGGAUUCUUGCCGGAGGAGACGAACUUUUAUGGAUUCUUGCUGGAGGAGAUGAACUUUUAUGCUGUGUUUUUUCCCCUGUAUGUGUCGCUUCAGAUCAGGCUGAUGCUGUUGUUAUUAUAGAGGAGCUGUUGAAGGCCAAGGUUUUCUUUGUGAGAAUGCCAUAGUUACAAGAAAAGAUUGCCUGAAAGGUCUUUAUGGUUUAUUCUGCAAGGUUAGAGGCCUGCUGAGGCUAGCGUGAGGUCUGCUAUGGCAUCGAUGAUCUGGGUGUCAUGACUGUGAAGCCUGCUCACGCCUCUCCGCUCAUAAACCGUGUGACAGAGUAAAUACUCUGGUCCACAACAAUUAGACCUUCCUCCCUCUCAGCUAUGGUGCCACAGAGUGCCCAGGCAGCAGGAAGCACACAUAAAACCAUCGAUGCUCCUUUCCGUAGGAGAAAUAAGUGAACGGAUAAUCUUUUCAUCUUUGUAUAAAUUCAGAUGUGAUUAGCCAGGUCCAGAAGAUUUGGUCUACUUCUCACUAAAUCCCAUCUGUUCUUCAGAAAAUACUUUUUCUUUGAGUUCAGAUGCGAUUAGCCUUCAUGAUGCAUGGAUGCAAAUUUGGACAGUUGGAUUCUUGAUGUGCAGAUAAAUACAUUGAGAAGAUGGAACUAGAAUUAAACUUCCGUCCAACUGCAGGUUAGUAUAUGCCUUAUAUGUUCUAUGGAAUUCCGCUUUCUCAUUAGAACAGCCAGAAGUGUAAAAUUACUGAAGUUUGAAUGUUAAUCCAGCUUAAUACUUGGGGCCUCUGAUAUAGUGAUAUAUGCAUCAAAAUCAUAGAUUUUUAUUAUUGCAAAUUGUUGGUGACUACUGAUCAUCCUUAUUAUUUUUUAUUCAUACGGUUCACGGGGCAAUGAGUACGAGAUCUGUUCGUGGGUGUCAUGUCAAGGUUAGAGUGGUUCUGCAACUAUUUUCAUCUGAAAAGAUAUACCUUGCAGCAUCCUGUAUGAUACGUAUAUGCUUGCAGAGGCGUCCAAGCUGUCGAGCAAUGUAGGGAUCUAUGGCGGGCAAGACCAAAGUGCUGCAGCCGCACGAGGGGGGCCCAAGGCCAAGCCUACACUAGCAGCGGCGAUGACGGAGGCGGAGGCGAAGGAGCUCCCCAAGGCCAUCACGUGGCAGCUGGUCCAGGACAAGCUCGCCUGGGUUGCCGUGGCUGGCGCCGGCGAAGGAGGAGGGUGGAGGUGUGGUGGACAAGGACGCCAUGGCCGCCUUCGCCACAGUGCCAACAUCUUCAUCCACUGCCUCUCUGCCACUUCAGAAUAAUAGUUGACGUUUUCACCAUAAAUCUGCGUACUGCAGCAUUUUUAUAGAUACUCUAUGUAAAUAAAAUCUUUUUUUCUUUAAGGGUUCAUAUAUAACUCUGUUA